GACGGGGUGGCCGAGUUGGUUAAGGCGAUGGACUGCUAAUCAAUUGGGGUUUCCCCGCGUGGGUUCGAAUCCCAUCCCCGUCG
This 83-nucleotide transfer RNA is filed under the name Fasciola gigantica. It matches the Rfam family "tRNA". Rfam says of the family: Transfer RNA (tRNA) molecules are approximately 80 nucleotides in length. Lineage: Eukaryota; Metazoa; Platyhelminthes; Trematoda; Plagiorchiida; Fasciolidae. The record is from Rfam by way of RNAcentral.